AUACGGAGGAUGCGAGCGUUAUCCGGAUUUAUUGGGUUUAAAGGGUGGGUAGGCUGUGCGUUAAGUCAGGGGUGAAAUGCCGUCGCUCAACGACGGAGCUGCCCUUGAUACUGGCGUGCUGGAGUACGGAUGCCGUUGGAGGAAUGAGUGGUGUAGCGGUGAAAUGCUUAGAUAUCACUCAGAACACCGAUUGCGAGGGCAUCUGACGAAUCCGUCACUGACGCUGAGGCACGAAAGCGUGGGGAUAGAACAGGAUUAGAUACCCUGGUAUUCCACGCCGUAAACGAUGAUGACUAACCGUCGGCGAUAGACAGCCGGUGGCCAAGCGAAAGCGAUAAGUCAUCCACCUGGGGAGUACGUCGGCAACGAUGAAACUCAAAGGAAUUGACGGGG
This 393-nucleotide ribosomal RNA is filed under the name uncultured bacterium. RNAcentral describes it as "partial 16S ribosomal RNA". It matches the Rfam family "Bacterial small subunit ribosomal RNA", at positions 523 to 918 of the family's 1533-position model. The record is from RNAcentral.